RNAcentral lists this ribosomal RNA (253 nucleotides) under uncultured bacterium. RNAcentral describes it as "partial 16S ribosomal RNA". It matches the Rfam family "Bacterial small subunit ribosomal RNA", at positions 524 to 776 of the family's 1533-position model. The record is from RNAcentral.
UACAUGUGGGGCAAGCGUUGUUCGGAAUUACUGGGCAUAAAGGGUGCGUAGGUGGUUUGUUAAGUCAGGGGUGAAAUCCCUCGGCUCAACCGGGGAACUGCGUCCGAUACUGGCGGGCUUGAAUUCGGGAGAGGGAUGUGGAAUUCCAGGUGUAGCGGUGAAAUGCGUAGAUAUCUGGAGGAACACCGGUGGCGAAGGCGGCAUCCUGGACCGACAUUGACGCUGAGGCGCGAAAGCCAGGGGAGCAAACGGG